RNAcentral lists this ribosomal RNA (256 nucleotides) under uncultured bacterium. RNAcentral describes it as "partial 16S ribosomal RNA". It matches the Rfam family "Bacterial small subunit ribosomal RNA", at positions 57 to 304 of the family's 1533-position model. The record is from RNAcentral.
GCAAGUCGAACGCGAAAGUGACUUCGGUAAUGAUUAGAGUGGCGCACGGGUGAGUAACGCGUGGAUGAUCUAGCCUACAGCGGGGGAUAACUUCGGGCAACCGGGGCUAAUACCGCAUACGAUCGGGUUUCGAACCCCGAUGAAAGCCCGCCUCUAUACUAUGCGGGCACUGUAGGAUGAAUCUGCGUCUCAUUAGCUAGUCGGUGGGGUAACGGCCUACCGAGGCGACGAUGAGUAGCGGGCUUGAGAGGGUGGC